Molecule: transfer RNA, 67 nt
Filed under: Marmota monax (woodchuck)
Lineage: Eukaryota; Metazoa; Chordata; Mammalia; Rodentia; Sciuridae
Description: tRNA.Ala
Source: RNAcentral
GGCUGUAGCUUAGUGGCAGAGGGCUUGCCUAGCAUGUGUGAGGCACUGGGUUCAAUCCUCAGCACCA